Molecule: ribosomal RNA, 111 nt
Filed under: Helianthus annuus (common sunflower)
Lineage: Eukaryota; Viridiplantae; Streptophyta; Magnoliopsida; Asterales; Asteraceae
Source: RNAcentral
GGUUGUGAUCAUACCAGCACUAAUGCACCGGAUCCCAUCAGAACUCCGCAGUUAAGCGUGCUUGGGCGAGAGUAGUACUAGGAUGGGUGACUCCCUGGGUUGUUGCAACCC